AACGAACGCUGGCGGCAGGCCUAACACAUGCAAGUCGAGCGAGGACUUCGGUUCUAGCGGCGGACGGGUGAGUAACGCGUGGGAAUGUGCCCUUCUCUACGGAAUAGCCCUGGGAAACUGGGAGUAAUACCGUAUACGCCCUAUUGGGGAAAGAUUUAUCGGAGAAGGAUCAGCCCGCGUUGGAUUAGGUAGUUGGUGGGGUAAUGGCCUACCAAGCCGACGAUCCAUAGCUGGUUUGAGAGGAUGAUCAGCCACACUGGGACUGAGACACGGCCCAGACUCCUACGGGAGGCAGCAGUGGGGAAUCUUAGACAAUGGGGGCAACCCUGAUCUAGCCAUGCCGCGUAAGUGAUGAAGGCCUUAGGGUUGUAAAGCUCUUUCAGCUGGGAAGAUAAUGACGGUACCAGCAGAAGAAGUCCCGGCUAACUCCGUG
This 433-nucleotide ribosomal RNA is filed under the name uncultured bacterium. Its description in RNAcentral is "partial 16S ribosomal RNA". It matches the Rfam family "Bacterial small subunit ribosomal RNA", at positions 29 to 507 of the family's 1533-position model. The record is from RNAcentral.